This is a long non-coding RNA of Astatotilapia calliptera (eastern happy), 3063 nucleotides long. The record is from Ensembl. NCBI's taxonomy places the organism in Eukaryota, Metazoa, Chordata, Actinopteri, Cichliformes, Cichlidae.
CUGUGGAAUAAAUUAAAAUCCUUUGCCUUUUUCAAGAAUCAGCAACAUUGCGGUGUGGGCUGAAGGCAGAGAGCAACAGCUUUCACCUUCAUCACUCCCUCCUCCACUUGCACACUCGCUCGCGCACACAGGGGUGGCUCGGGAACGAGCUUCGCAUCCAGCGGUCCGGCGACGGAGGGAAUAUGCUCAGUUCAGAUAUGAAUGAAUGAAAAUAUGACAGCUUCACACAGACAGAGAUGUCUGGAACACCAUUUCCGGUUCGGGCUGACCUGUCAGGUGUUACGUGCUGCUCGGUCCACAUCUGGAGCAGCAGCGCGCGGUGUGUCUGCUCCUAAGAAAUGCCAUUUCACCUAAGUGAUCUUCUGCCUGUUUCUUCUUCUUCUUUUUUUCCACUCUCGGAUUUUAUCUUGUCGGUCGCCUUGAAUCGUGUGUGCGCGUGUAUGUGUGUCUGUGCGUGUUUGCUUGAGCCAGUGAUUGAAGGGCUUUCAUGACUUGUGCCCUCAGGACUGUGAAGCCACGAGAACAGGAUGAAAAUCGUUCGUUUGGUGCUGAUUCGCCCUUUCAGCGUCUCAGUUAUUUCGCCCCUUAAUUAGAAGACCGGUAACCGCGGUGAAAAUCUGCUGAUCAAACAAUGGAAAGACCUUCAGUGCAUCAACCUAAAGGGUGUAGCAGCGCAAUGAGGUGACAGAUCAAAGCUCACUGAUUGACAGAGCUUUUCUACAUGUGCACACCAGUGCCAUUGUAAUGACUUAAAAAAGCUUAUUUUCCUUUAUUUUGUGUAUCUACAAAAAGAUAGAAGAUAGAAAGCCAGAGAGCCUGGAGGGGAAACCAUGGUCAUCGCUGAUAGAAACACCGGCACCCCUGUGCCUAAAAAGGAGCCCCAGAAGAAAAGGAAGUCUCGCCCUCAUGGCCUGCCCUCUCCGGCACUCUGCUGUGCUUGUGGCCUAUGCAUCAUGCUGGCUGGACUCAACAUCACCCUGGUGGGAGCAUUCGCCUUCAGCACACUGAUGCCUUCUGCCAACCCCCCAAUCAUCAUCGGACCUAUCCUGCUGCUGGUGGCCUUUUCCUUUUUCGGAGCGUGUUGCGUGUGCAGUCGACUCCCGCCUCCACACAGCUCACGAAGGUCCAAGGUUGGGGGCAGAGGGGCUGGCUUGAUGGGACACGGCGGGCAGGCUGGCGGGGCAGCGUUUGAAAUAGAGACCAGCGAGCACACGCUGCAGGACACUACAGCUGUGCAGCUGAGCCCCACAUCCUCCCCUGCAUCAUCCCAGGCAUCCAGCUCAGAAAAAGAGGCUCCUGAUGCUGAUGCAGCCCUGCCGGGACCUUGCAAGCUCUUCACCAUGGAGACAAACGGCCCGUCUUGUGUUUCUGCCACCGCAGUCUACUCAACCUCCGCAGCAGCAGGAGGGGAGGUGAAGCUCAACCUACCACGUGAAGAAGUGGUCAUCUAGCAGGGCAGAAACUCUUAGUCUAUGCUAGUAGUGUAAAUAUCCUUCUGGGCAGAGGGGCUGCUGGGUGUGAUUGUAUUCUCUAGUUUACGUACUGCCAUAUUUCUAGUUGUGAAAAGGUGUCAAAAGUUACACUUUUAUUUAUUCAUUUAUUUACUUUCUUGCCGUGCCAACUGGUAAAUAGCAUGCAAGUAUUUGUGGAUCAAAGGUUUCGGAAUUCAAAUUCCUACCUCUCUUGUGUCGUUUUCUUACAGGUCUUUGUUUUUAACGUGGGGCAUUAUGAACUGAUUUCAUGAAGAAGUCAAAGAGUCUGAAACCUUAAACACUCUUUUUCACUCUUGUUCUGAUUAAUGGAAACCUCAACUCUCAGCAGUGACUUUAGAGGGCUAACUAACAAAAAAGACUAAACAUCUGAUUAUUUAUUUCUUCUGAAAACUUUACACGUGAAAGGUCAGUAGCUAAACUGGACGGAAACGCAUUUAAUGACAUUUGGCAUUUUGUGUGCCAUGCUCAGUGCUCAGCUUGUUUUGGGGGUGUAAGCUAUUAUAGGUCAUACAUGUGCCAAAGCAAUAUUCCCUUGAAAUGCAAAGGGAUUGCACCACACAAUAGCCAAUUGCAAUGUAUACAGGUGUAACUAUAUACAGUGUCGUUCGAAGUCAUUAUUUCUGUAGUUUGAUGUAACGAAUACCAUCAUCAAUGCUGUGAAUAUUAUGUUUCUCUCUUUUCAUCUGGCGGUUUAUAACAUGUUAAACUUUUAAUCGAAGGCAACCCCAUCAGUUUAAGGUCAUGUUGAUCAGAGCUUUACUCGGUAGUUCCUAAUGCAGUCGGAGCAAGGAUUUCUUUCUCCUCUUACUCAGCGUGCAUUUCAUUACUUUUUUAGAGUGCUAUAAGAGCAUCUUUUCUAAAUGUGAACAAAGGAAUUUCACAGGAGAUGUUUUCCUCCUAUGGACCUAACAUUGACAGCACUGGAAAGCCAAGAAGUUUAGAUAUUCCAAUUAUAUAAAAUGCAUCUGUUCCCCGUCACUGUGAUGGCUUCAUGUCAGUUUAAAUCUGCCUAGUAGACAUUCAACCCAUGAUUUCCUUUGAAAGGAAAAGUUGCCUUAGACUGAGAUAUCAGGAUCAAACUAAUGAGGGCUAUAAAAAAGUGCACAACAGCAGUUUUCUGCGGAAAGCCUUUGUUUGGCUCCAGAUUUCUAUUCAGCAUUGAUAAGAAAGACUCAGUGAUUUUGUGUUUUUUUGUGUUAUAAAUGCAUGCAGGAUGUGCUCAGAAGUCUGUAUGAGGUAGCAGUUGCAUACAUACAGACAAACAGACACUGUUUGACAUUUUUAAAAAAAAGCCAGUUGGUGUUCCUUCAGAGUUCGCCUCUGAUGCUAAAUUAGAGUGUCAAGCUUAAUUUUGCAUGCUCAGAAAAUGGGUUACGGGAAUGCAAACACCCUGAUGUGAAUGAUUAAUGUUGUCUGUGUGUUUUAAAUUGUGUAGCACCUAUAGAAAAUGUGAAACAAAAAAAACAUGUAAAGGAUAGAAUAUUUUUGUCAAGACUCUAAUUUAAAGGACCCUAACCCAAUGUGAUUUCUUUAAAAGGCAUAAAUAAAAAGGCUCUUUCUGUAAAAAAUA